GAUGAACGCUGGCGGCGUGCUUAACACAUGCAAGUCGAGCGAAGCUCCUUUGUUGAUUUCUUCGGAUUGAAACAAAGGAUGACUGAGCGGCGGACGGGUGAGUAACGCGUGGAGAACCUGCCCCGUACCGGGGGAUAACAGUUAGAAAUGACUGCUAAUACCGCAUAAGCGCACACUAUCGCAUGAUAGAGUGUGAAAAACUCCGGUGGUACGGGAUGGCUCCGCGUUGGAUUAGCCAGUUGGCGGGGUAACGGCCCACCAAAGCGACGAUCCAUAGCCGGCCUGAGAGGGCGACCGGCCACAUUGGGACUGAGACACGGCCCAAACUCCUACGGGAGGCAGCAGUGGGGAAUAUUGCACAAUGGGGGAAACCCUGAUGCAGCGACGCCGCGUGAACGAAGAAGUAUUUCGGUAUGUAAAGUUCUAUCAGCAGGGAAGAAAAUGACGGU
Molecule: ribosomal RNA, 449 nt
Filed under: bacterium WCD2010
Lineage: Bacteria
Description: bacterial SSU rRNA
Rfam family: Bacterial small subunit ribosomal RNA
Source: RNAcentral